This 253-nucleotide ribosomal RNA is filed under the name uncultured bacterium. Its description in RNAcentral is "partial 16S ribosomal RNA". It matches the Rfam family "Bacterial small subunit ribosomal RNA", at positions 524 to 776 of the family's 1533-position model. The record is from RNAcentral.
UACGUAGGGUGCGAGCGUUGUCCGGAAUUAUUGGGCGUAAAGAGCUUGUAGGCGGUUUGUCGCGUCUGCCGUGAAAAUUCGAGGCUCAACCUCGAACUUGCGGUGGGUACGGGCAGACUAGAGUGUGGUAGGGGAGACUGGAAUUCCUGGUGUAGCGGUGAAAUGCGCAGAUAUCAGGAGGAACACCGAUGGCGAAGGCAGGUCUCUGGGCCACUACUGACGCUGAGAAGCGAGAGCAUGGGGAGCGAACAGG